Molecule: ribosomal RNA, 433 nt
Filed under: uncultured bacterium
Lineage: Bacteria
Description: partial 16S ribosomal RNA
Rfam family: Bacterial small subunit ribosomal RNA
Source: RNAcentral
AACGAACGCUGGCGGCAUGCCUAACACAUGCAAGUCGAACGAGACCUUCGGGUCUAGUGGCGCAUGGGUGCGUAACGCGUGGGAACCUGCCCUUAGGUUUGGAAUAACUCCCCGAAAGGGGUGCUAAUACCGGAUAAUGUCUUCGGACCAAAGAUUUAUCGCCUUUGGAUGGGCCCGCGUUGGAUUAGCUAGUUGGUAGGGUAAAAGCCUACCAAGGCGACGAUCCAUAGCUGGUCUGAGAGGAUGAUCAGCCACACUGGGGCUGAGACACGGCCCAGACUCCUACGGGAGGCAGCAGAGGGGAAUAUUGGACAAUGGGCGGAAGCCUGAUCCAGCAAUGCCGCGUGAGUGAUUAAGGCCUUAGAGUUGUAAAGCUCUUUUACCCGGGAUGAUAAUGACAGUACCGGGAGAAUAAGCUCCGGCUAACUCCGUG